Steccherinum ochraceum is the source of this 104-nucleotide non-coding RNA. NCBI's taxonomy places the organism in Eukaryota, Fungi, Basidiomycota, Agaricomycetes, Polyporales, Steccherinaceae. The record is from the annotation of a GenBank genome assembly.
GCCGGGAUAGCUCAGUUGGGAGAGCAGCAGACUGAAGGCGUUGACCGUGGAAUGAACGCGGUCACGUGUUCUGAAGGUCCCGUGUUCAAUCCACGGUCCUGGCA